RNAcentral lists this ribosomal RNA (247 nucleotides) under uncultured bacterium. RNAcentral describes it as "partial 16S ribosomal RNA". It matches the Rfam family "Bacterial small subunit ribosomal RNA", at positions 524 to 769 of the family's 1533-position model. The record is from RNAcentral.
CACGGGGGAGCAAGCGUUGUUCGGAAUCACUGGGCGUAAAGGGACGUGUAGGCGGCCAGGUAAGUGAGAUGUGAAAUUACCCCGGCUCACCCGGGGACCUGCAUCUCAUACUGCUUGGCUUGAGUACGGGAGAGGAUGAGGGAAUUCCUGGUGUAGCGGUGAAAUGCGUAGAUAUCAGGAGGAACACCGGUGGCGAAAGCGCUCAUCUGGCCCGAUACUGACGCUGAGGCGCGAAAGCUAGGGGAGC